AACAAAAAGUUUAGUUUUAAAGAAAAAUCACAAUGUCAACAUCUAAAUUUGCUUUCUUUUGUAUCGUCUUGGUUUUUUUUGCUACUUUUCAUGAAUGUGUCAAAAAAGUUGAUGCAGCUGCACUAACAUGCACUAGAUUACCAAAUUCUAAUUGGUGCUGCAACACAACACCGAGAAGGUGCCGAGGCAGCAAAGUCGAGUGUGACGCGAUUUGUAAACCCAAACGCCUCUGAAUUUUCCAGAAGAGAAUUUCUAUAAUUAUAUAUUCCAAAUUUUCUUUUACCUCUAUUAUUAUUAUUACUGAAAAUAAUAAAUAGGAAGUCAUGUUCUAGAGGAGCAUCUAGUACUGUUGGGUUUUCUUCGAAUAGCUGAAAUUGUUUUUAUUGUUAAUUCUGACUUUCUGCAAUUGUAUUUAAUAAGUUUAUAAUUGCAGAUAUAAUAAUUUGAAUCGAUUAUGUUAUUCUUUGGCA
Brassica oleracea var. oleracea is the source of this 470-nucleotide long non-coding RNA. RefSeq lists it as uncharacterized. NCBI's taxonomy places the organism in Eukaryota, Viridiplantae, Streptophyta, Magnoliopsida, Brassicales, Brassicaceae. The transcript is spliced from 2 exons. The record is from RefSeq and is a predicted model, not a curated record.